GAGUUUGAUCGUGGCUCAGAUUGAACGCUGGCGGCAUGCCUUACACAUGCAAGUCGAACGGCAGCAUGAUCUAGCUUGCUAGAUUGAUGGCGAGUGGCGAACGGGUGAGUAAUACAUCGGAACGUGCCCUGUAGUGGGGAUAACUAGUCGAAAGAUUAGCUAAUACCGCAUACGACCUGAGGGUGAAAGUGGGGGACCGCAAGGCCUCAUGCUAUAGGAGCGGCCGAUGUCUGAUUAGCUAGUUGGUGGGGUAAAGGCCCACCAAGGCGACGAUCAGUAGCUGGUCUGAGAGGACGAUCAGCCACACUGGGACUGAGACACGGCCCAGACUCCUACGGGAGGCAGCAGUGGGGAAUUUUGGACAAUGGGCGAAAGCCUGAUCCAGCAAUGCCGCGUGUGUGAAGAA
Molecule: ribosomal RNA, 406 nt
Filed under: uncultured microorganism
Description: bacterial SSU rRNA
Rfam family: Bacterial small subunit ribosomal RNA
Source: RNAcentral